UUAAAGUGAAUUUAAAAAUAAAUUAAUCACAUGCCUCACAUCCAGACAACAAAACAAGGAGUUGGUGACAGAAGAAGAGAAAUCCACCUUUUAGUACAGCAAAAUACAUCAAAUCGAAUCGUAACAAUGGCGAAACUCGAACAGAAUGCAGAAAACGAAACAACAUUGAAGCAGCAAACGAAGAAGAAAACAGCCGUAAAGAGGAACCAUGGAUCGCCAUCAUUCUUCGUAUUUGUGGAUUACCUUUUCUUGGGGAUCUUCUUCUGUUUCCUCUCCUUCCUUCUCUACAAAUUGAUCGGUUUUUGAUUCAAUACGGGUAGUUAUUAGUUACAUGGGGGGGCGCAUCCCAUCUUGGCUCGAGUACUUAAACAGUGAUUCACAGGCAUGCCGUUAAUUUUUCGUUAUUUUGGAUAAUGUCAUGCUCAAAGUAAACUCUUGCAUUUUUUUUUCUCACUGGUUAUAUUUAUUUUUGUGUAGAAUGUAUCCUUUUUGACAAAAUAUUGGACUUUUUUCAGUAUUUUUUUUUUUAAUUUUUCGUUUGUACAAGUGCGCUCUAUGUUUGAUGAAUUGUCUGAAUCCCACUUUUAUCAUUUAUGCUCAGUCCAUUUUUGCAGUU
Molecule: long non-coding RNA, 616 nt
Organism: Erythranthe guttata (spotted monkey flower)
Lineage: Eukaryota; Viridiplantae; Streptophyta; Magnoliopsida; Lamiales; Phrymaceae
Source: RefSeq, a predicted model, not a curated record